Molecule: ribosomal RNA, 254 nt
Filed under: uncultured bacterium
Lineage: Bacteria
Description: partial 16S ribosomal RNA
Rfam family: Bacterial small subunit ribosomal RNA
Source: RNAcentral
UACGGAGGGGGCUAGCGUUGUUCGGAAUUACUGGGCGUAAAGCGCACGUAGGCGGCUUUGCAAGUUAGAGGUGAAAGCCCGGGGCUCAACUCCGGAAUUGCCUUUAAAACUGCAUCGCUAGAAUUGUGGAGAGGUAAGUGGAAUUCCGAGUGUAGAGGUGAAAUUCGUAGAUAUUCGGAAGAACACCAGUGGCGAAGACGACUUACUGGACACAUAUUGACGCUGAGGUGCGAAAGCGUGGGGAGCAAACAGGG